Molecule: ribosomal RNA, 229 nt
Filed under: uncultured bacterium
Lineage: Bacteria
Description: partial 16S ribosomal RNA
Rfam family: Bacterial small subunit ribosomal RNA
Source: RNAcentral
UCCGUGGGCGGGCAAUUAAGUCAGAGGUGAAAUCCCACAGCUCAACUGUGGAACUGCCUUUGAUACUGGUUGUCUUGAGUUACAGUGAAGUAGAUAGAAUAUGUAGUGUAGCGGUGAAAUGCAUAGAUAUUACAUAGAAUACCGAUUGCGAAGGCAGUCUACUAACUGUAUACUGACGCUAAUGGACGAAAGCGUGGGGAGCGAACAGGAUUAGAUACCCUGGUAGUCC